UAAGAAAUUGACCCAUCAGCAGUAG
This 25-nucleotide non-coding RNA is filed under the name Mus musculus (house mouse). The record is from RNAcentral. Lineage: Eukaryota; Metazoa; Chordata; Mammalia; Rodentia; Muridae.